GCGGGAGUAGCUCAGUGGUAGAGCAUCUGCUUGCCAUGCAGAGGGUCGCGGGUUCGAAUCCCGUCUCCCGCU
Molecule: transfer RNA, 72 nt
Organism: Coprothermobacter proteolyticus DSM 5265
Lineage: Bacteria; Pseudomonadati; Coprothermobacterota; Coprothermobacteria; Coprothermobacterales; Coprothermobacteraceae
Rfam family: tRNA
About the family: Transfer RNA (tRNA) molecules are approximately 80 nucleotides in length. Their secondary structure includes four short double-helical elements and three loops (D, anti-codon, and T loops). Further hydrogen bonds mediate the characteristic L-shaped molecular structure. tRNAs have two regions of fundamental functional importance: the anti-codon, which is responsible for specific mRNA codon recognition, and the 3' end, to which the tRNAs corresponding amino acid is attached (by aminoacyl-tRNA synthetases). tRNAs cope with the degeneracy of the genetic code in two manners: having more than one tRNA (with a specific anti-codon) for a particular amino acid; and 'wobble' base-pairing, i.e. permitting non-standard base-pairing at the 3rd anti-codon position.
Source: Rfam